GGUGGAUGACUUAUGGACAGAAGUAACAAAGUUGCCAACCCCUCCUUGGCGCCUUCUUGCGGUUCUCGAAGAUCGAGCUUUCCACCAUCAGCCCAGCACCCAGGCCAGCAUCAGAAGCGACCUUUUGUGGUGCUUUCUGGUUUCCGCUUCACGGAUCUCAACACUGCUGCUUCCCUCAGAUGCACAGGAACACCCUAAGCACGCUAUCAUCAUCAGAUUUUGUUGUUCUUUCUCCCAGAAGAGCUUGCUUCUUCACAACCUAGAAUUAGUUCUGAUUCUCUCGUUGCUUUGGGAAAACAGGUGGAGGGUGGGGACAUCGCCGUGGAAUGUCAGAAAUGAAGGACCACAAUUCCCAUUUUUGAGUGCCACUGUAGUCUCUCUCUUCCUCUGGAUGUCACCUGAACGUCCUCGCACCCCGGUCUUCAUCCCUUGUGUAAUCUCUUCGUGUAUUGAGUAGAGUUGACCUAGUACAGGGUAAAAUGGGGGGACAGCGUGUGACCGCUGAGGCCGGCAGCGUGGGAGGCGUCAGUGUAGACUCCACGGCCGCCGCGCACUGAGGCCAGCCGGUGGCACCUGUUGGCCGAGACUGCGGCGGCCCUGUAAGGAGGCCCAGGCGGAAAGGGACAAGGCCUCUCCGCAGACCAGCCCCAUCUCACUAGCCCUGCGAUUGCGCCACCUGGGAAGUAGAUCCCCCGGUUCCGGUGGAGCCUUCCGCUGAUUCUGGCCCUGACGAACGCCUUGACUGCAACCACAUGAGCAGACCUUGAACUGAGUUGGCCGGAGAAGUUUCUCCUCAGUUCUUGUCCCACAGAAACUAUGACGUGAUCCUCUACAGAGAAGACCAAAAAAUUCCACCAAAAGAUUGUUAAAAGUAACAAGCAAAUUUGCAACACAGAAGGAUACAAACUCAACACACAAAAGAAACAGCGUUCCUGAAUACCAAUAAUCAACUCACUGAGAGAGAAAUUAGGAAAAACAAUACCAUUCACAAUAGCACCAAGAAAAAUUAAAUGCUUAGGAAUUAACCCAACCAAGGAAGUGAAAGACCCGUGUAAUAAAACUACAGUACUGUGAAAAAGGAGAUCAAAGAGGACAUCAGAAAAUGGAAAGAUAUCCCCUAUUCCUGGAUAGGCAGAAACAACAAAAAAACUGAUACACAGAGGCGCAUUAUGUACUUC
This is a long non-coding RNA of Heterocephalus glaber (naked mole-rat), 1178 nucleotides long. NCBI's taxonomy places the organism in Eukaryota, Metazoa, Chordata, Mammalia, Rodentia, Bathyergidae. The record is from Ensembl.